Molecule: ribosomal RNA, 1345 nt
Filed under: uncultured bacterium
Lineage: Bacteria
Description: bacterial SSU rRNA
Rfam family: Bacterial small subunit ribosomal RNA
Source: RNAcentral
GAUGAACGCUUGCGGGAGGCCUAACACAUGCAAGCCGAGCGGUAUUGUUUCUUCGGAAAUGAGAGAGCGGCGUACGGGUGCGGAACACGUGUGCAACCUGCCUUUAUCUGGGGGAUAGCCUUUCGAAAGGAAGAUUAAUACUCCAUAAUAUAUUGAACGGCAUCGUUUAAUAUUGAAAGCUCCGGCGGAUAGAGAUGGGCACGCGCAAGAUUAGCUAGUUGGUGAGGUAACGGCUCACCAAGGCGAUGAUCUUUAGGGGGCCUGAGAGGGUGAUCCCCCACACUGGUACUGAGACACGGACCAGACUCCUACGGGAGGCAGCAGUGAGGAAUAUUGGUCAAUGGGUGCAAGCCUGAACCAGCCAUCCCGCGUGAAGGACGACUGCCCUAUGGGUUGUAAACUUCUUUUGUAUAGGGAUAAACCUACCCUCGUGAGGGUAGCUGAAGGUACUAUACGAAUAAGCACCGGCUAACUCCGUGCCAGCAGCCGCGGUAAUACGGAGGGUGCAAGCGUUAUCCGGAUUUAUUGGGUUUAAAGGGUCCGUAGGCGGACUUAUAAGUCAGUGGUGAAAGCCUGUCGCUUAACGAUAGAACUGCCAUUGAUACUGUAAGUCUUGAGUAUAUUUGAGGUAGCUGGAAUAAGUAGUGUAGCGGUGAAAUGCAUAGAUAUUACUUAGAACACCAAUUGCGAAGGCAGGUUACCAAGAUAUAACUGACGCUGAGGGACGAAAGCGUGGGGAGCGAACAGGAUUAGAUACCCUGGUAGUCCACGCCGUAAACGAUGCUAACUCGUUUUUGGGCUUUAGGGUUCAGAGACCAAGCGAAAGUGAUAAGUUAGCCACCUGGGGAGUACGCUCGCAGGAGUGAAACUCAAAGGAAUUGACGGGGGCCCGCACAAGCGGUGGAUUAUGUGGUUUAAUUCGAUGAUACGCGAGGAACCUUACCAAGACUUAAAUGGGAAUUGACAGCUUUAGAAAUAGAGCUUUCUUCGGACAAUUUUCAAGGUGCUGCAUGGUUGUCGUCAGCUCGUGCCGUGAGGUGUUAGGUUAAGUCCUGCAACGAGCGCAACCCCUGUCACUAGUUGCCAUCAUUCAGUUGGGGACUCUAGUGAGACUGCCUACGCAAGUAGAGAGGAAGGUGGGGAUGACGUCAAAUCAUCACGGCCCUUACGUCUUGGGCCACACACGUAAUACAAUGGCCGGUACAGAGGGCAGCUACACAGCGAUGUGAUGCAAAUCUCGAAAGCCGGUCUCAGUUCGGAUUGGAGUCUGCAACUCGACUCUAUGAAGCUGGAAUCGCUAGUAAUCGCGCAUCAGCCAUGGCGCGGUGAAUACGUUCCCGGGCCU